AACGAACGCUGGCGGCAUGCCUAACACAUGCAAGUCGAACGAGACCUUCGGGUCUAGUGGCGCACGGGUGCGUAACGCGUGGGAACCUGCCUUUAGGUUCGGAAUAACUCAGAGAAAUUUGAGCUAAUACCGGAUGAUGUCUUCGGACCAAAGAUUUAUCGCCUUUAGAUGGGCCCGCGUUGGAUUAGCUAGUUGGUGGGGUAAAGGCCUACCAAGGCGACGAUCCAUAGCUGGUCUGAGAGGAUGAUCAGCCACACUGGGACUGAGACACGGCCCAGACUCCUACGGGAGGCAGCAGUGGGGAAUAUUGGACAAUGGGCGAAAGCCUGAUCCAGCAAUGCCGCGUGAGUGAUGAAGGCCUUAGGGUUGUAAAGCUCUUUUACCCGAGAUGAUAAUGACAGUAUCGGGAGAAUAAGCUCCCGCUAACUCCGUG
RNAcentral lists this ribosomal RNA (433 nucleotides) under uncultured bacterium. RNAcentral's name for it is "partial 16S ribosomal RNA". It matches the Rfam family "Bacterial small subunit ribosomal RNA", at positions 29 to 507 of the family's 1533-position model. The record is from RNAcentral.